This 73-nucleotide transfer RNA is filed under the name Myotis davidii. It matches the Rfam family "tRNA". Rfam says of the family: Transfer RNA (tRNA) molecules are approximately 80 nucleotides in length. The record is from Rfam by way of RNAcentral. Lineage: Eukaryota; Metazoa; Chordata; Mammalia; Chiroptera; Vespertilionidae.
GCCAUUGUGGCUCAUUUGGUUGAGCAUUGUCACAGGCACGAAAAGGUUGUGGGUUCAAUUCCCGCUCAGGGCA